This 253-nucleotide ribosomal RNA is filed under the name uncultured bacterium. Its description in RNAcentral is "partial 16S ribosomal RNA". It matches the Rfam family "Bacterial small subunit ribosomal RNA", at positions 524 to 776 of the family's 1533-position model. The record is from RNAcentral.
UACGGGGGGGGCAAGCGUUGUUCGGAAUUACUGGGCGUAAAGGGCUUGUAGGUGGCCAAUUAAGUCAGACGUGAAAUCCCUCAGCUUAACUGGGGAACUGCGUCUGAUACUGGAUGGCUUGAGUUUGGGAGAGGGAUGCGGAAUUCCAGGUGUAGCGGUGAAAUGCGUAGAUAUCUGGAGGAACACCGGUGGCGAAGGCGGCAUCCUGGACCAACACUGACACUGAGGAGCGAAAGCCAGGGGAGCAAACGGG